AAUAGAUACCCGGGUAGUCCACGCCGUAAACGGUGGGCACUAGGUGUGGGCGACAUUCCACGUCGUCCGUGCCGCAGCUAACGCAUUAAGUGCCCCGCCUGGGGAGUACGGCCGCAAGGCUAAAACUCGAAGGAAUUGACGGGGGCCCGCACAAGCGGCGGAGCAUGUGGCUUAAUUCGACGCAACGCGAAGAACCUUACCAAGGCUUGACAUACACCGGAAACGUCCAGAGAUGGGCGCCCCCUUGUGGUCGGUGUACAGGUGGUGCAUGGCUGUCGUCAGCUCGUGUCGUGAGAUGUUGGGUUAAGUCCCGCAACGAGCGCAACCCUUGUCCCGUGUUGCCAGCAGGCCCUUGUGGUGCUGGGGACUCACGGGAGACCGCCGGGGUCAACUCGGAGGAAGGUGGGGACGACGGUCAAGGUCAUCAUGCCCCUUAUGUCUUGGGCUGCACACGUGCUACAAUGGCCGGUACAAUGAGCUGCGAUACCGCGAGGUGGAGCGAAUCUCAAAAAGCCGGUCUCAGUUCGGAUUGGGGUCUGCUAAC
RNAcentral lists this ribosomal RNA (544 nucleotides) under uncultured bacterium. RNAcentral describes it as "bacterial SSU rRNA". It matches the Rfam family "Bacterial small subunit ribosomal RNA", at positions 777 to 1312 of the family's 1533-position model. The record is from RNAcentral.